GGAUUAGAUACCCUGGUAGUCCACACCGUAAACGCUGUCUACUAGCUGUUUGUGUAUUAUAUACGUGAGUAGCGAAGCUAACGCGCUAAGUAGACCGCCUGGGGAGUACGGCCGCAAGGUUAAAACUCAAAUGAAUUGACGGGGGCCCGCACAAGCGGUGGAGCAUGUGGUUUAAUUCGACUAUACGCGAAGAACCUUACCUGGACUUGACAUAGUAAGAAUAUUUAAGAGAUUAGAUAGUGUCUGCUUGCAGAAACUUGCAUACAGGUGCUGCACGGCUGUCGUCAGCUCGUGCUG
Molecule: ribosomal RNA, 297 nt
Filed under: uncultured bacterium
Lineage: Bacteria
Description: partial 16S ribosomal RNA
Rfam family: Bacterial small subunit ribosomal RNA
Source: RNAcentral